AAUACAUCCAUUGCGCACAAGUCGUUUUCUCCCUAUAACCCUUGAGGAGGUACCAGAUGGAUGAGAAGUAGACAUAUUCCCGUUAGCUUCAUCCUGAGAAUUGCUGGACACAUCAAUUGCUCUCUCUGGAUUUGAAGUAGCAAAAGAACCAUUGACUGGACCAACUUCUAUUUUCUCCUUGCCUUUAGAAGCACUGUUAAGUAUUCUUGAGGAGACAGGAGACAGCGAUGAGGCACUACUGGAUGACAUUUGACCCUUACCUCUAGCUUGAGAGGGCAGACUAUUCGAUGCUCCACAAGGAAAAUCCAUGUUUAAUAUGCGGCCAUGCUCACUCGGAAAGCUCAAAUUUACGUUUGUUUUAUUUUCUCUGCCAGCAUGGGAUUUAGAAGGAAUCUUGGUACACAAAGCUUUUCCUUUGUCCGUAUGUGUUGCUCCCCUAGAUUGCCUACUUACAGGCCUGG
RNAcentral lists this long non-coding RNA (461 nucleotides) under Linum usitatissimum (flax). RNAcentral describes it as "long non-coding RNA (LUSI_LNC001637)". Lineage: Eukaryota; Viridiplantae; Streptophyta; Magnoliopsida; Malpighiales; Linaceae. The record is from RNAcentral.